UACGUAGGUGGCAAGCGUUGUUCGGAAUUAUUGGGCGUAAAGGGCGCGUAGGCGGUUUGUUAAGUCAGCUGUGAAAGCCCGGGGCUCAACCCCGGAGGGUCAGCUGAUACUGGCAGACUAGAGUACAGAAGAGGUAGCUGGAAUUCCCGGUGUAGCGGUGAAAUGCGCAGAUAUCAGGAGGAACACCGGUGGCGAAGGCGGGUCUCUGGGCCGAUACUGACGCUGAGGCGCGAAAGCUAGGGGAGCAAACGGG
Molecule: ribosomal RNA, 253 nt
Filed under: uncultured bacterium
Lineage: Bacteria
Description: partial 16S ribosomal RNA
Rfam family: Bacterial small subunit ribosomal RNA
Source: RNAcentral